This 482-nucleotide ribosomal RNA is filed under the name uncultured bacterium. Its description in RNAcentral is "partial 16S ribosomal RNA". It matches the Rfam family "Bacterial small subunit ribosomal RNA", at positions 28 to 523 of the family's 1533-position model. The record is from RNAcentral.
GACGAACGCUGGCGGCGUGCUUAACACAUGCAAGUCGAACGAUGAAGCCCAGCUUGCUGGGUGGAUUAGUGGCGAACGGGUGAGUAACACGUGGGCAACCUGCCCCAAACUCUGGGAUAACUCCUCGAAAGAGGUGCUAAUACCGGAUACGAACUAGACAGACAUCUGUACUAGUUGGAAAGUUUUUCGGUUUGGGAUGGGCCCGCGGCCUAUCAGCUUGUUGGUGAGGUAACGGCUCACCAAGGCUACGACGGGUAACCGGCCUGAGAGGGCGACCGGUCACACUGGGACUGAGACACGGCCCAGACUCCUACGGGAGGCAGCAGUGGGGAAUAUUGCGCAAUGGGCGAAAGCCUGACGCAGCGACGCCGCGUGAGGGAUGAAGGUCUUCGGAUCGUAAACCUCUUUCAGUAGGGACGAAGCGAAAGUGACGGUACCUAAAGAAGAAGCACCGGCUAACUACGUGCCAGCCGCCGCCGUAA